UCAUACAAUGUUUAUAUUUUUUACAAUGAGCAGGUAUUAUCUUAAAGACUAAAAAAAUGGAGGAGAAAAAGAUGUUAUGGACAACAAUAUUAAAUGCAUCAGAUUGGUCAAGUAAGAUAAAAUCUUAAAAUGUUCAUUAUAUUUGGCAAUGAAGAAAUCAUUUAAGCACCUCUGCUAAUGAAAUUUCAAUUAAUUAGGGAAGAAGCCAGAUGUCAGUGAGUUAAAAACUAAAUGAGAGUUGAAAAAUUAGAGACACAGAGUACACAGACUCAUUUGAGAAGGAAAGUAAAGAGAUAAGAUGGUAUCUAUAAUGAGGAAUGAAGAAUUAAAGAAAAUGAUUUUUUAUUGUUUGUUUUUAUUGUAGAAGAAACUUGAAUAUGUUCACAGGAUGACAAGGUUUAAGUAGAAAGACUUUUAAGAAGAUAGGAAACAGAAGGAAUAAUUCUUUGUAGCAAAACCAAAGAAGAAAUAGAGAGAAAUCAAAGUCACAGUUAGAAGAUGUCUCUUCUUGAAAGAGCAGAGGCAAAGAAUAAAGCUUUUGAGUGUGGGGGCGGGAGGGGCAGUUUCUCGGGAGUAAAUCAAAGGGAGAAAGUUGAAGUAUUUCUCACAUAACAGCCUUGAUUUUCACUCAGCGGAUAGAUGCCAAGGUGAUCUGCUAAGAUUAAAACACUUUGAGGUAGCAUAAGAGUUUUGAGAACAAUAAUUAGAAUUUGGAACUCCCCAUUUGUCUUGUUUUCUGCUGUUCCACUUCUCUGUUUUUCUUUUUUACGAAAACAUCUGGAAAAAGCUCUUUGUGUAGUUCUCAACUCUUCCCAUUCUGUUUUGAACGCACACCCAUGGAGCUUUUACCUCAACCACUCCAUGGGAACAUUUGUUGUCCAGGUAACUAAUGACCUCCACGUCACUAAAUUUAAUGAUCAAUUCUCAUUUUACUCUGCAUCAAUGAGCAUCAGUUGACAGAAUGGUCACUCCUUCCUCCUUGAAACACUUACCUCAAAUAGCUUCCAAGGAUAUAAACAUUCCGUUUUCCUCUCACUUUCCCAGCUGCUUCUUUUCUUGGACUUUUCCAGGUUCUUCCACUUUGACCAAAGUUGAGAAAUGAGAUAAUACUUGUUAAAAUCCUUGUAUAAGCUGGCAGUAAAUUUUAGGUUAUAGAAUUAAAAGUAACAACAACAACAACAACAAAUUUAACCAAAUUUGAAAAGGUAUGAUGACAAGAAGGUUCUUUUAUUCAGGCAAAAUAAUAACCCUCCUUAAAAGGCUACAAUUGGCAUUAUCUCACCAUUAUAGCUAUUUAUUCAACUGUAAAUAUCUACUGUAAGUAACAACAGAUUAUUCUCUGCUUUCACACUUUUCCUACCAAAUAUUGGUCACCUAAUGUAUUCCUUUCUCCUUGCCUACUGAAACUCCACUACUCUCAAAGGAAUCUGUGUUCUGAAACCCACCUUCUUUAAAGAAGAUUCUGCCUCACACCUGGUCUCCUAUUUUAUGUUUCUAUAGUACUUUCAAAUUUACAAAGGAAAUUAAUAAAAGAGCAAUAUUGGGAUAAAUUUUAUAAAAC
RNAcentral lists this long non-coding RNA (1561 nucleotides) under Sus scrofa (pig). RNAcentral's name for it is "lncRNA (ENSSSCG00070022913.1)". The record is from RNAcentral. Lineage: Eukaryota; Metazoa; Chordata; Mammalia; Artiodactyla; Suidae.